This 73-nucleotide transfer RNA is filed under the name Trichobilharzia regenti. It matches the Rfam family "tRNA". Rfam says of the family: Transfer RNA (tRNA) molecules are approximately 80 nucleotides in length. Their secondary structure includes four short double-helical elements and three loops (D, anti-codon, and T loops). Further hydrogen bonds mediate the characteristic L-shaped molecular structure. tRNAs have two regions of fundamental functional importance: the anti-codon, which is responsible for specific mRNA codon recognition, and the 3' end, to which the tRNAs corresponding amino acid is attached (by aminoacyl-tRNA synthetases). tRNAs cope with the degeneracy of the genetic code in two manners: having more than one tRNA (with a specific anti-codon) for a particular amino acid; and 'wobble' base-pairing, i.e. permitting non-standard base-pairing at the 3rd anti-codon position. The record is from Rfam by way of RNAcentral. Lineage: Eukaryota; Metazoa; Platyhelminthes; Trematoda; Strigeidida; Schistosomatidae.
GCGUCGGUGGUAUAGUGGUUAAAACGCUGGCUGACCAUGCACAUGGUCCGGGGUUCGAUUCCCGGCCGACGCA